Molecule: long non-coding RNA, 715 nt
Organism: Centropristis striata (black sea bass)
Lineage: Eukaryota; Metazoa; Chordata; Actinopteri; Perciformes; Serranidae
Exons: 3
Source: RefSeq, a predicted model, not a curated record
GAGCUUUUAUUUUGACAAAUCUGACAGGAAGUUGCCUUGUUUUGACUCCGGGCAGCUUGACAGCAGCAGGUUCUUUAAAAACUGACAGAACUAGUUUUCAUUCACAGGAGAAGUUUGACUAAAACUCACUGAAGUGAAUCUGACGAAUCAGUUAGAGUGCCAUGUUGACCUGCAGGAAACAAACAACAAGAGAGAAACUGAGAGAGCUGCAGGUCCAGUUGGUCCGCCUCCGACUUCUCUUGACGACUGACGCUGACGUAGAAGAGAAUCAAAGAAUGGGAGGAAGCCGGAGGACGUGAGGUCAGAGGAAACAGCCAAGCUGCAGCAGGAAACAUGAGGAGAGAGAAGAAUUCAUAUGUUUUAUAUAACAAAUGUCUGAUUUAACUCGCUCUCGUGUAUAACUCAUCUCUCGCAAGUCUGUUUAGAGACGGAUAUUUACUGCCCAGUCAUGAGAUGAACCAGUUAUUAUUUCACACAUUUUCUUUAGUUCAUAUUUUUCACAUUUUAUCCUCUUUAUCUUAACCCAUUUAUGCCUUAUUUUAAAACUCAUAUAAUUUAAAUUUUUUUAUUGUACAUUUCUGUCUCUAUAUUGGAUGUAUUCUUGUCUUUUUAUUGCUUUUAUUAUUUUUUAAAUUACUUGUUUCUUUAAUGUUUUAUAAUUAUUGUAGAUUUUUUAUUUUGUAUCUGUGUCAUAUAUAUUCGUCAUUUCAUUGCU